GUGGGGAAUAUUGGUCAAUGGACGCAAGUCUGAACCAGCCAAGUAGCGUGCAGGAUGACGGCCCUAUGGGUUGUAAACUGCUUUUAUACAGGGAUAAAGUCAGUUACGUGUAACUGUUUGUAGGUACUGUAUGAAUAAGGACCGGCUAAUUCCGUGCCAGCAGCCGCGGUAAUACGGAAGGUCCAGGCGUUAUCCGGAUUUAUUGGGUUUAAAGGGAGCGCAGGCUGAUGAUUAAGCGUGACGUGAAAUGUAGCCGCUCAACGGCUGAACUGCGUCGCGAACUGGUUAUCUUGAGUGAGUUCGAUGUUGGCGGAAUUCGUGGUGUAGCGGUGAAAUGCUUAGAUAUCACGAAGAACUCCGAUUGCGAAGGCAGCCAACAAGGCCUUUACUGACGCUAAAGCUCGAAGGUGCGGGUAUCGAACAGG
This 425-nucleotide ribosomal RNA is filed under the name uncultured rumen bacterium. RNAcentral describes it as "bacterial SSU rRNA". It matches the Rfam family "Bacterial small subunit ribosomal RNA", at positions 354 to 776 of the family's 1533-position model. The record is from RNAcentral.